This 253-nucleotide ribosomal RNA is filed under the name uncultured bacterium. RNAcentral describes it as "partial 16S ribosomal RNA". It matches the Rfam family "Bacterial small subunit ribosomal RNA", at positions 524 to 776 of the family's 1533-position model. The record is from RNAcentral.
AACGUAGGACGCAAGCGUUAUCCGGAGUUACUGGGCGUAAAGCGCGGGCAGGCGGUUGGUCAAGUCUGAUGUGAAAUCUCUCCGCUCAACGGGGAGCAGCCAUUGGAAACUGGUCGACUGGAGUCUGGCAGAGGUAGGCGGAAUUCCGGGUGGAGUGGUGAAAUGCGUAGAGAUCCGGAGGAACACCAGAGGCGAAGGCGGCCUACUGGGCCAGUACUGACGCUGAGCCGCGAAAGCCAGGGGAGCGAACGGG